This 424-nucleotide ribosomal RNA is filed under the name uncultured bacterium. RNAcentral's name for it is "bacterial SSU rRNA". It matches the Rfam family "Bacterial small subunit ribosomal RNA", at positions 355 to 776 of the family's 1533-position model. The record is from RNAcentral.
UGAGGAAUAUUGGACAAUGGGUGAGAGCCUGAUCCAGCCAUCCCGCGUGAAGGACGACGGCCCUAUGGGUUGUAAACUUCUUUUGUAUAGGGAUAAACCUACUCUCGUGAGAGUAGCUGAAGGUACUAUACGAAUAAGCACCGGCUAACUCCGUGCCAGCAGCCGCGGUAAUACGGAGGGUGCAAGCGUUAUCCGGAUUUAUUGGGUUUAAAGGGUCCGUAGGCGGACUCGUAAGUCAGUGGUGAAAUCUCAUAGCUUAACUAUGAAACUGCCAUUGAUACUGCGGGUCUUGAGUAAGGUAGAGGUAGCUGGAAUAAGUAGUGUAGCGGUGAAAUGCAUAGAUAUUACUUAGAACACCAAUUGCGAAGGCAGGUUACCAUGUCUUAACUGACGCUGAUGGACGAAAGCGUGGGGAGCGAACAGG